This 253-nucleotide ribosomal RNA is filed under the name uncultured bacterium. RNAcentral's name for it is "partial 16S ribosomal RNA". It matches the Rfam family "Bacterial small subunit ribosomal RNA", at positions 524 to 776 of the family's 1533-position model. The record is from RNAcentral.
UACGGAGGGUGCGAGCGUUAAUCGGAAUUACUGGGCGUAAAGCGUGCGCAGGCGGUUUCUUAAGUCAGAUGUGAAAGCCCCGGGCUUAACCUGGGAAUUGCGUUUGAAACUGGGAGACUUGAGUGUGGCAGAGGGGGGUGGAAUUCCACGUGUAGCAGUGAAAUGCGUAGAUAUGUGGAGGAACACCGAUGGCGAAGGCAGCCCCCUGGGCUAACACUGACGCUCAUGCACGAAAGCGUGGGGAGCAAACAGG